Molecule: long non-coding RNA, 587 nt
Organism: Oncorhynchus tshawytscha (Chinook salmon)
Lineage: Eukaryota; Metazoa; Chordata; Actinopteri; Salmoniformes; Salmonidae
Source: Ensembl
ACCCCACCCGUGGAGGUGGGAGAAAUAUAUAAAUGUCUGUGUUCGUAGCCAGCACUUUCAGCCAGAGGAUUUCGGAUUGGAACUGAGGUUUUCAACUGAUGGGGUUGGCAUGUCGUCGAACAUUGGAAAGAGAUGCCAUUCUAUUGAUUUUCCCUUCACUUCAAAGAGGGAGCUAUCCGAUCAGCCAACAUCCGUGCAGCAGAAAAAAAGUCAAGCUGAGAUUCCAAUCCCAUCAACAUCUGCAGAUGCAUCAACAUCAAGCGCAGCACCAGGACCUAGUAUUUCCCAAUUGUUUUGAAAGCACUACAAAUCCAGAGAAUACAAAAUUUGCCCACAAAGAACCUCCGCGCGCCACCUUCCUGUCUAAGUGAGCACAGCACAACAAGAACUGAGAGAUGGCCAGGCCAUGGUGGAAGACACUGGCUGUUCACACCAGAACAGGAGACUUUUAUUGUGAACAUGGUGGUGGCAAACAGUACCAUUAGACUACGAGAAAUACAGAACCACAUAAUUGCAGACAACACAAUAACAUUCACCAGGUGGGCUUGUCUACAUUGGACCCUGUAUUACAGCGCAACCGAAUCCGG